GGGGGUGCAAGCGUUAAUCGGAAUUACUGGGCGUAAAGCGCACGCAGGCGGUUUGUUAAGUCAGAUGGAAAUCCCCGGGCUCAAACUGGGAACUGCAUUUGAAACUGGCAAGCUAGAGUCUCGUAGAGGGGGGUAGAAUUCCAGGUGUAGCGGUGAAAUGCGUAGAGAUCUGGAGGAAUACCGGUGGCGAAGGCGGCCCCCUGGACGAAGACUGACGCUCAGGUGCGAAAGCGUGGGGAGCAAACAGGAUUAGAUACCCUGGUAGUCAGGCAGGUCCUGGGGGCCGCCUCUGCAACUUGCCCCCGAGAGGUCUUUUCGCCUUCCAA
Molecule: ribosomal RNA, 326 nt
Filed under: Serratia marcescens
Lineage: Bacteria; Pseudomonadati; Pseudomonadota; Gammaproteobacteria; Enterobacterales; Yersiniaceae
Description: bacterial SSU rRNA
Rfam family: Bacterial small subunit ribosomal RNA
Source: RNAcentral